Molecule: long non-coding RNA, 487 nt
Organism: Salvia hispanica
Lineage: Eukaryota; Viridiplantae; Streptophyta; Magnoliopsida; Lamiales; Lamiaceae
Source: RefSeq, a predicted model, not a curated record
AGGCAGCCCCAGCUUACACCAAAAUAGCAUACCAAGCAUAAACAUCAUGUUUGAAAGGGAGCAAGCUGGCAGCCAAAAAUGAGAGUCUUUGUCCCCAAGUUUCAGCACAAACAGCCAAAAUAGAGAACUAUAUAAGCAGCCCCAUCUCCCUUCCCCUCCCCACUUCUUUAGACACCAAAAAUUCACUCAAAAUCAAGGAGUGCAGCAAGGAAAUGGGAGGAGCAAGAAGGCGAGGAGAGGCAGCGGCGAAGCGGAGGGACAGCCGUAUAAACCAAGGAUAAACCGAGCGAGGUUGAGCAGUGAUGACGGCGGGCGAGGUUGAGCAUAGACGAUGAAGAUCCUUCGAUAGAAUAGUACUUGGAUGCAUCGUGUCUCCGCACACGAUGUCAUCUGCUCUUGACUCUUCCGCUGCAAUGUAAAAGUCGAGAUUUCAUUCUCUUGUACCAUGCACUCUGAUUUUUAUAUAUUCCAAGUUAUUUCAGUUCAA